This 250-nucleotide ribosomal RNA is filed under the name uncultured bacterium. RNAcentral describes it as "partial 16S ribosomal RNA". It matches the Rfam family "Bacterial small subunit ribosomal RNA", at positions 524 to 773 of the family's 1533-position model. The record is from RNAcentral.
UACGGGGGGUGCAAGCGUUGUUCGGAAUUAUUGGGCGUAAAGAGCGUGUAGGCGGCCGGAUAUGUCAGAUGUGAAAGCCCCGGGCUUAACCCGGGAAGUGCAUUUGAAACUGUCCGGCUCGAGUAGGGGAGAGGGAAGUGGAAUUCCUGGUGUAGAGGUGAAAUUCGUAGAUAUCAGGAGGAACACCGGUGGCGAAGGCGACUUCCUGGCCCUAUACUGACGCUGAGACGCGAGAGCGUGGGUAGCAAAC